Molecule: ribosomal RNA, 379 nt
Filed under: uncultured cyanobacterium
Lineage: Bacteria; Bacillati; Cyanobacteriota
Description: bacterial SSU rRNA
Rfam family: Bacterial small subunit ribosomal RNA
Source: RNAcentral
CGAAAGCCUGACGGAGCAAGACCGCGUGAGGGAGGAAGGCUCUUGGGUUGUAAACCUCUUUUCUCAGGGAAGAAGCUCUGACGGUACCUGAGGAAUCAGCCUCGGCUAACUCCGUGCCAGCAGCCGCGGUAAUACGGAGGAGGCAAGCGUUAUCCGGAAUUAUUGGGCGUAAAGCGUUCGUAGGCGGUUUUAUAAGUCUGCUGUCAAAGUGCGGAGCUCAACUCCGUAAGAGCAGUGGAAACUGAAUAGCUAGAGUGCCGUAGGGGUAGAGGGAAUUCCCGGUGUAGCGGUGAAAUGCGUAGAGAUCGGGAAGAACAUCGGUGGCGAAAGCGCUCUACUGGACGGCAACUGACACUCAGGGACGAAAGCUAGGGGAGCG